GACGAACGCUGGCGGUGCGUAUUAAACAUGCAAGUCGAACGAGAAAGUACCCUUCGGGGUGCGAGUAAAGUGGCAAACGGGUGAGUAAUACCUGGAUAAUCUGCCUUCUGGCUCGGGAUAACAUCGGGAAACCGGUGCUAAUACCGGAUGAGCUCACGCCAUCGCAUGGUGGCGCGGGAAAAGGUGGCCUCUAUUUAUAAGCUAUCACCGGAAGAUGAGUCCAGGCCCCAUUAGCUUGUUGGUAGGGUAACGGCCUACCAAGGCUCCGAUGGGUAGCCGGCCUGAGAGGGUGACCGGCCACACUGGGACUGAGAUACGGCCCAGACUCCUACGGGAGGCAGCGGUUUGGAAUUUUGGUCAAUGGGCGCAAGCCUGAACCAGCGACACCGCGUGGGUGAGAAGGCGUUAAACCGUCGUAAAGCCCUUUUAGGGGGAAAGAAAAAGGGCAGGGCUAAUAUCCAUGCCCCUUGACGUUACCCCCAGAAAAAGCCACGGCUAACUCUGUGCCAGCAGCCGCGGUUAUACAGAGGUGGCAAGCGUUGUUCGGAAUUACUGGGCGUAAAGGGCUCGUAGGCGGUUAGGUAAGUCGCGUGUGAAAGCCCGUAGCUUAACUGCGGAAGUGCACGCGAUACUGCCUAGCUUGAGUACAGGAGAGGAGAGCGGAACUCCUAAUGGAGCGGUGGAAUGCGUAGAUAUUAGGGAGAACACCGGUGGCGAAAGGCGGCUCUCUGGCCUGAUACUGACGCUGAGGAGCGAAAGCUAGGGUAGCAAACAGGCUUAGAUACCCUGGUAGUCCUAGCUGUAAACGAUGGGCACUAGGUGUGGGGGGGAUCGACCCCCUCUGUGCCGUAGCUAACGCAUUAAGUGCCCCGCCUGGGGAGUACGGUCGCAAGGCUGAAACUCAAUGAAAUUGACGGGGGCCCGCACAAGCGGUGGAGCAUGUUGCUCAAUUCGAUGCAACGCGAAGAACCUUACCGGGGCUAGAACUCCUAUUGCUCGCCAUCGAAAGAUGGCUUUCCAUUGGACGAUAGGAAAGGUGCUGCAUGGCUGUCGUCAGCUCGUGUCGUGAGAUGUUGGGUUAAGUCCCGCAACGAGCGCAACCCCUGUUUCCAGUUGCCAGCGGUUCGGCCGGGCACUCUGGAGAGACUGCCGGCGGUAAGCCGGAGGAAGGCGGGGACGACGUCAAGUCCUCAUUGCCCUUAUGUCCCGGGCUGCAAACGUGCUACAAUGGUCGGUACAAAGAGUUGCGAUACCGCGAGGUGGAGCUAAUCUCUAAAAGCCGGCCUCAGUUCGGAUUGGAGGCUGCAACUCGCCUCCAUGAAGCUGGAAUCGCUAGUAAUCGCGUAUCAGCACGACGCGGUGAAUACGUUCCCGGGCCUUGUACACACCGCCCGUCAAUUCACUAAAGCUGGUUGUACUCGAAGUCACCGAGCUAACCUUCUUGGAGGCAGGUGCCCAAGGUAUGACCAGUGAUUGGG
Molecule: ribosomal RNA, 1478 nt
Filed under: uncultured bacterium
Lineage: Bacteria
Description: 16S ribosomal RNA
Rfam family: Bacterial small subunit ribosomal RNA
Source: RNAcentral